GACGAACGCUGGCGGCGUGCUUAACACAUGCAAGUCGAACGAAAAGAGGGAAAGAGCUUGCUCUUUCCGGAAUUGAGUGGCAAACGGGUGAGUAACACGUAAACAACCUGCCUUCAGGAUGGGGACAACAGACGGAAACGACUGCUAAUACCGAAUAAGUUCCAAGGGCCGCAUGGCCCAUGGAAGAAAAGGUGGCCUCUACCUGUAAGCUAUCGCCUGAAGAGGGGUUUGCGUCUGAUUAGCUGGUUGGAGGGGUAACGGCCCACCAAGGCGACGAUCAGUAGCCGGUCUGGGAGGAUGAACGGCCACCCUGGAAUUGAGACACGGUCCAGACUCCUACGGGAGGCAGCAGUGGGGAAUCUUCCGCAAUGGGCGAAAGCCUGACGGAGCAACGCCGCGUGAGUGAUGACGGCCUUCGGGUUGUAAAACUCUGUGAUCCGGGACGAAAAGGCAGAGUGCGAAGAACAAACUGCAUUGACGGUACCGGAAAAGCAAGCCACGGCUAACUACGUG
Molecule: ribosomal RNA, 513 nt
Filed under: uncultured bacterium
Lineage: Bacteria
Description: partial 16S ribosomal RNA
Rfam family: Bacterial small subunit ribosomal RNA
Source: RNAcentral